This 460-nucleotide ribosomal RNA is filed under the name uncultured bacterium. RNAcentral's name for it is "partial 16S ribosomal RNA". It matches the Rfam family "Bacterial small subunit ribosomal RNA", at positions 338 to 795 of the family's 1533-position model. The record is from RNAcentral.
CCUACGGGCGGCAGCAGUGAGGAAUAUUGGUCAAUGGGCGCGAGCCUGAACCAGCCAAGUCGCGUGAGGGAUGACGGUCCUACGGAUGGUAAACCUCUUUUGCCGGGGAGCAAGCGUGCGUUCGUGAACGCGCGUCGAGAGUACCCGGCGAAAAAGCAUCGGCGAACUCCGUGCCAGCAGCCGCGGUAAUACGGAGGAUGCGAGCGUUAUCCGGAUUGAUUGGGUUUAAAGGGUGCGUGGGCGGGAUGCCAAGUCAGCGGUAAAAAUGCGGUGCUCAACGCCGUCGAGCUGUUGAAACUGGCGUUCUGGAGUGGGCGAGAGGUAUGCGGAAUGCGUGGUGUAGCGGUGAAAUGCAUAGAUAUCACGAAGAACUCCGAUUGCGAAGGCAGCAUACUGGCGCCCUACUGACGCUGAGGCACGAAAGCGUGGGUAUCGAACAGGAUUAGAUACCCGUGUAGUC